UACGUAGGGGCCUAGCGUUGUCCGGAUUUAUUGGGCGUAAAGAGCUCGUAGGCGGCACGGUUAGUCAGGUGUGAAAUCUCCACGCUCAACGUGGAGGGGUCACCUGAUACUGCCGAGCUUGAGUCCGGUAGGGGAGUGUGGAAUUCCCGGUGUAGCGGUGAAAUGCGCAGAUAUCUGGAGGAACACCGGUGGCGAAGGCGACAUCCUGGACCGGUAUUGACGCUGAGGCACGAAAGCCAGGGGAGCAAACGGG
RNAcentral lists this ribosomal RNA (253 nucleotides) under uncultured bacterium. RNAcentral describes it as "partial 16S ribosomal RNA". It matches the Rfam family "Bacterial small subunit ribosomal RNA", at positions 524 to 776 of the family's 1533-position model. The record is from RNAcentral.